GCGUUGCGCGNCGGGUGAGNCCGUGGGCACCUGCCUGNAACUGGANACUUCGGAACCAAGCUANCCGANGAUCUUCUCCUUCUGGAAAUAUUGAANAUGGUUUCGGCUAUCACUNACAAUUGGGCCCGCGGUGNAUNAGCUAGUUGGUGAGGUAACGGCUCACCAGGCAACGAUGCAUAGCCGACCUGAGAGGUUGAUCGGCCCACUGGGACUGAGACACGGCCNAACCUCCUACGGGAGGCAGCAGUAGGGAAUCUUCCGCAAUGGACGAAAGUCUGACGGAGCAACGCCGCGUGAGUGAUGAAGGCUUUCGGGUCGUAAAACUCUGUUGUUAGGGAAGACCAAGUACGAGAGUAACUGCUCGUACCUGGACGGUACCUAACCAGAAAGCCACGGCUAACUACGUGCCAGCAGCCGCGGUAAUACGUAGGUGGCAAGCGUAUCAUUUUUGGGG
Molecule: ribosomal RNA, 454 nt
Filed under: Bacillus sp. enrichment culture clone A1b
Lineage: Bacteria; Bacillati; Bacillota; Bacilli; Caryophanales; Bacillaceae
Description: partial 16S ribosomal RNA
Rfam family: Bacterial small subunit ribosomal RNA
Source: RNAcentral